RNAcentral lists this ribosomal RNA (253 nucleotides) under uncultured bacterium. RNAcentral describes it as "partial 16S ribosomal RNA". It matches the Rfam family "Bacterial small subunit ribosomal RNA", at positions 524 to 776 of the family's 1533-position model. The record is from RNAcentral.
UACAGAGGUCCCGAGCGUUGUUCGGAUUCACUGGGCGUAAAGGGUGCGCGGGUGGGUUGGCAAGUUUGAUGUGAAAGCCCCGGGCUUAACCCGGGAAUGGCAUUGAAUACUGCUGAUCUCGAGGAUCGGAGGGGGGACUGGAACUCUUGGUGUAGCAGUGAAAUGCGUAGAUAUCAAGAGGAACACCAGUGGCGAAGGCGAGUCCCUGGACGAUACCUGACACUGAGGCACGAAAGCCGGGGGAGCAAACAGG